CGAGAUCGCUAAGAUGACGGGGCCAAGACGGCGCCAGGGGAGGAAGCCCGGUGGAAUUCCGGCACGGUCCCGCCACUGUGACGCACGGCGAGUACGCCGCGCGGAGUCAGGAACUCCCGCCGUCCUCCGAACCGC
This 135-nucleotide non-coding RNA is filed under the name Streptomyces sp. Lineage: Bacteria; Bacillati; Actinomycetota; Actinomycetes; Kitasatosporales; Streptomycetaceae. The record is from RNAcentral. RNAcentral also lists the same sequence under 1 other name.